UACGUAGGGUGCAAGCGUUAAUCGGAAUUACUGGGCGUAAAGCGUGCGCAGGCGGUUGUGCAAGACAGAUGUGAAAUCCCCCGGGCUCAACCUGGGAAUUGCAUUUGUGACUGCACGGCUAGAGUGUGUCAGAGGGGGGGUAGAAUUCCACGUGUAGCAGUGAAAUGCGUAGAGAUGUGGAGGAAUACCGAUGGCGAAGGCAGCCCCCUGGGAUAACACUGACGCUCAUGCACGAAAGCGUGGGGAGCAAACAGG
RNAcentral lists this ribosomal RNA (255 nucleotides) under uncultured bacterium. Its description in RNAcentral is "partial 16S ribosomal RNA". It matches the Rfam family "Bacterial small subunit ribosomal RNA", at positions 524 to 776 of the family's 1533-position model. The record is from RNAcentral.